Molecule: ribosomal RNA, 593 nt
Filed under: uncultured bacterium
Lineage: Bacteria
Description: partial 16S ribosomal RNA
Rfam family: Bacterial small subunit ribosomal RNA
Source: RNAcentral
UGGGGAAUUUUGGACAAUGGGCGAAAGCCUGAUCCAGCAAUGCCGCGUGAGUGAAGAAGGCCUUCGGGUUGUAAAGCUCUUUUGUCAGGGAAGAAAACGGUGAGAGCUAAUAUCUUUUGCUAAUGACGGUACCUGAAGAAUAAGCACCGGCUAACUACGUGCCAGCAGCCGCGGUAAUACGUAGGGUGCAAGCGUUAAUCGGAAUUACUGGGCGUAAAGUGUGCGCAGGCGGUUUUGUAAGUCUGAUGUGAAAUCCCCGGGCUCAACCUGGGAAUUGCGUUGGAGACUGCGAGGCUAGAAUCUGGCAGAGGGGGGUAGAAUUCCACGUGUAGCAGUGAAAUGCGUAGAUAUGUGGAGGAACACCGAUGGCGAAGGCAGCCCCCCUGGGUCAAGAUUGACGCUCAUGCACGAAAGCGUGGGGAGCAAAACAGGAUUAGAUACCCCUGGUAGUCCACGCCCUAAACGAAUGUCUACUAGUUGUCAGGUCUUAAUUGACUUGGUAACGCAGCUAACGCGUGAAGUAGACCGCCUGGGGAGUACGGUCGCAAGAUUAAAACUCAAAAGGAAUUGNCGGGGGUCAUAGCUGUUUCCUG